Molecule: transfer RNA, 74 nt
Filed under: Patescibacteria group bacterium
Lineage: Bacteria
Description: tRNA-Ile
Rfam family: tRNA
About the family: Transfer RNA (tRNA) molecules are approximately 80 nucleotides in length. Their secondary structure includes four short double-helical elements and three loops (D, anti-codon, and T loops). Further hydrogen bonds mediate the characteristic L-shaped molecular structure. tRNAs have two regions of fundamental functional importance: the anti-codon, which is responsible for specific mRNA codon recognition, and the 3' end, to which the tRNAs corresponding amino acid is attached (by aminoacyl-tRNA synthetases). tRNAs cope with the degeneracy of the genetic code in two manners: having more than one tRNA (with a specific anti-codon) for a particular amino acid; and 'wobble' base-pairing, i.e. permitting non-standard base-pairing at the 3rd anti-codon position.
Source: RNAcentral
GCGCGAUUAGCUCAGGUGGCUAGAGCGCGUCACUGAUAAUGACGAGGUCCCAAGUUCGAGUCUUGGAUCGCGCA